UAAUGAUCUCGAGCCACUUUCUAGCUAGAUGAGAAUUUAAAAUUUGUUAUGAUUCACCUUGUACGUAACAUAAAUUUUAAUUAAAAAAAGAAAAUUCUUCUCAAUUUUUUAUUUAAAAAAUCACAUACUCCUGUUGUGUCAAUUUUUUGUACCUAAACUUGGAAUUUAAAAUGACCGAUCUUGACGAAAACACACUUGCAAAGCACGGCCAACACCACGGA
RNAcentral lists this long non-coding RNA (221 nucleotides) under Brachypodium distachyon (stiff brome). RNAcentral's name for it is "long non-coding RNA (BDIS_LNC002705)". The record is from RNAcentral. Lineage: Eukaryota; Viridiplantae; Streptophyta; Magnoliopsida; Poales; Poaceae.